UUUAUUCUCCCGUUCAGAUGAGUUUAAUAUUUUUAAUAAACUCCAAUCUGAAGUCUGACUUUGGCGGUAAAUAUUUCUCGAUCCUUCGGCUUCAUCGAACACUUGCAUAAUACCGAAAUUUGGGUUUUCGUCUAAUUUCAGGUUUUCUCGUCGUGCUUCGAUCCAGUCGUGCUUGCUUCCCGUCGUGCUUACUUCCCGUCGUGCUUAAUUCCCAUCAUGUUUCCAAUGUCUUCGAAAUAAUAUUCUGCUGAUACGAAGUUUUGCGGAAAACUUCGUGCUGAAGAAACGUCAUUCUUCCAAAACGUCGAGCUUCUAAACCGUCGUGCUUCCAAAAAUGUUAUGCUUCGAAAACGUCUGUCUCAUCAAUCUAAGACAUCUUCUAACUAUGGUCGAGAAACUUAUUCAACUCAUAGUUCACUCACGAUCACUUCUUCGCCCACUUCGUACUUUAAAACUUCUCGAUCAAUCCUUAUCGCCCGCGACUCGACCACCACAAAGAUACUCGACCACUCUUUUUUUUUUUUUUUUUAACGGGUUUCUACACUUCCCGUGGACUGUUCGGGUGAUUUUGGCCCAUGUGGGCUGUCUGUUCAGUACACACAGGACAUCCGUGGGUGUCCGCCAGCACACACAGGACAUCUGUGGCUGUCCGUGGCUGGCCGUCAGCACACACAUGACGUCUG
RNAcentral lists this long non-coding RNA (683 nucleotides) under Brassica rapa (field mustard). Its description in RNAcentral is "long non-coding RNA (BRAP_LNC008874)". Lineage: Eukaryota; Viridiplantae; Streptophyta; Magnoliopsida; Brassicales; Brassicaceae. The record is from RNAcentral.